UACAGAGGAUGCAAGCGUUGUUCGGAAUUACUGGGCGUAAAGGGCUCGUAGGCGGCCAACUAAGUCCGACGUGAAAUCCCCAGGCUUAACCUGGGAACUGCGUCGGAUACUGGAUGGCUUGAAUUCGGGAGAGGGAUGCAGAAUUCCAGGUGUAGCGGUGAAAUGCGUAGAUAUCUGGAGGAAUACCGGUGGCGAAGGCGGCAUCCUGGACCGACAUUGACGCUGAGGAGCGAAAGCUAGGGGAGCAAACGGG
RNAcentral lists this ribosomal RNA (253 nucleotides) under uncultured bacterium. RNAcentral's name for it is "partial 16S ribosomal RNA". It matches the Rfam family "Bacterial small subunit ribosomal RNA", at positions 524 to 776 of the family's 1533-position model. The record is from RNAcentral.